This 485-nucleotide ribosomal RNA is filed under the name uncultured bacterium. Its description in RNAcentral is "partial 16S ribosomal RNA". It matches the Rfam family "Bacterial small subunit ribosomal RNA", at positions 30 to 507 of the family's 1533-position model. The record is from RNAcentral.
AUUGAACGCUGGCGGCAUGCCUUACACAUGCAAGUCGAACGGCAGCACGGGUGCUUGCACCUGGUGGCGAGUGGCGAACGGGUGAGUAAUACAUCGGAACAUGUCCUGUAGUGGGGGAUAGCCCGGCGAAAGCCGGAUUAAUACCGCAUACGAUCUACGGAUGAAAGCGGGGGACCUUCGGGCCUCGCGCUAUAGGGUUGGCCGAUGGCUGAUUAGCUAGUUGGUGGGGUAAAGGCCUACCAAGGCGACGAUCAGUAGCUGGUCUGAGAGGACGACCAGCCACACUGGGACUGAGACACGGCCCAGACUCCACGGGAGGCAGCAGUGGGGAAUUUUGGACAAUGGGCGAAAGCCUGAUCCAGCAAUGCCGCGUGUGUGAAGAAGGCCUUCGGGUUGUAAAGCACUUUUGUCCGGAAAGAAAUCCUUGGCCCUAAUACGGUCGGGGGAUGACGGUACCGGAAGAAUAAGCACCGGCUAACUACGUG